AGAGUUUGAUCAUGGCUCAGGAUGAACGCUAGCGGCAGGCUUAAUACAUGCAAGUCGAGGGGCAGCGUGGUGUAGCAAUACACUGAUGGCGACCGGCAAACGGGUGCGGAACACGUACACAACCUCCCUUCAAGCGGGGCAUAGCCCAGAGAAAUUUGGAUUAAUACCCCAUAGAAUAUUGGAAAGGCAUCUUUUUGAUAUUAAAGAUUUAUCACUUGAAGAUGGGUGUGCGGCUGAUUAGGUAGUUGGCGGGGUAACGGCCCACCAAGCCUUCGAUCAGUAACUGGUGUGAGAGCACGACCAGUCACACGGGCACUGAGACACGGGCCCGACUCCUACGGGAGGCAGCAGUAAGGAAUAUUGGUCAAUGGACGAAAGUCUGAACCAGCCAUGCCGCGUGGAGGAUGAAGGUCCUCUGGAUUGUAAACUUCUUUUAUAUGGGACGAAAAAGGGGCUUUCUAGCUCAACUGACGGUACCAUAUGAAUAAGCACCGGCUAACUCCGUGCCAGCAGCCGCGGUAAUACGGAGGGUGCAAGCGUUAUCCGGAUUCACUGGGUUUAAAGGGUGCGUAGGUGGGUUGGUAAGUCAGUGGUGAAAUCUCCGGGCUUAACUCGGAAACUGCCAUUGAUACUAUCAGUCUUGAAUACCGUGGAGGUCAGCGGAAUAUGUCAUGUAGCGGUGAAAUGCUUAGAUAUGACAUAGAACACCAAUUGCGAAGGCAGCUGGCUACGCGAAUAUUGACACUGAGGCACGAAAGCGUGGGGAUCAAACAGGAUUAGAUACCCUGGUAGUCCACGCC
Molecule: ribosomal RNA, 800 nt
Filed under: uncultured bacterium
Lineage: Bacteria
Description: bacterial SSU rRNA
Rfam family: Bacterial small subunit ribosomal RNA
Source: RNAcentral